CCUACGGGAGGCAGCAGUCGAGAAUCAUUCACAAUGGGGGAAACCCUGAUGGUGCGACGCCGCGUGGGGGAAUGAAGGUCUUCGGAUUGUAAACCCCUGUCAUGUGGGAGCAAAUUAAAAAGAUAGUACCACAAGAGGAAGAGACGGCUAAUUCUGUGCCAGCAGCCGCGGUAAUACAGAGGUCUCAAGCGUUGGUCGGAUUCACUGGGCGUAAGGGGUGCGUAGGCUGUCUAGUAAGUGGUGUGUGAAAGGCGGGGGCUCAACCCGCGAACGGCACAUGAUACUGGGAGACUAGAGUAAUGGAGGGGGAACCGGAAUGCUCGGUGUAGCAGUGAAAUGCGUAGAUAUCGAGAGGAACACUCGUGGCGAAGGCAGGUUCCUGGACAUUAACUGACGCUGAGGCACGAAGGCCAGGGGAGCGAAAGGGAUUAGAUACCCCUGUAGUC
This 446-nucleotide ribosomal RNA is filed under the name uncultured bacterium. RNAcentral's name for it is "partial 16S ribosomal RNA". It matches the Rfam family "Bacterial small subunit ribosomal RNA", at positions 338 to 795 of the family's 1533-position model. The record is from RNAcentral.